This 87-nucleotide transfer RNA is filed under the name Candidatus Babelota bacterium. RNAcentral's name for it is "Candidatus Dependentiae bacterium tRNA-Leu". It matches the Rfam family "tRNA". From Rfam's summary of the family: Transfer RNA (tRNA) molecules are approximately 80 nucleotides in length. RNAcentral also lists the same sequence under 1 other name. The record is from RNAcentral.
GCCGGGAUGGCGGAAUAGGUAGACGCACGGGACUCAAAAUCCCGCGGUGGAAACACCAUGUCGGUUCGACUCCGACUCCCGGCACCA